This 490-nucleotide long non-coding RNA is filed under the name Homo sapiens (human). RNAcentral's name for it is "LNC_000004". The record is from RNAcentral. Lineage: Eukaryota; Metazoa; Chordata; Mammalia; Primates; Hominidae.
UGGGUGUGGGGGGUGUGUGUGCAUGUGCACAUGGUGUGUGUGCUGUUUGGUUUCUGUGGGGUGUGUGUGCGUGUGCACAUGGUGUGGUGUGUGCGGUGUGGUGUGUGCAGUGUGUGUGCUAUGAAUGACUGCUUCUCUGAGCAUGUGGACAUCAGUCUUCCAGACCAGCUUUCUCCAUGUGUCUGGGAACAAAAGAAAAAAGUUUCUGCAAUAAUUGUUAUGCGACUUUCCCAGAGAGGGACCACAUUUCUGUCUUGAGUGGGUGUCUGCGUCAUUUCGCAGGAGGGUAUGUGAUGUCCUGGCUUGGCUCACACCCUCUGUGGGUUUAGGCAGGGUUCCUGCUGGAUCCCUCACUGUGGCCAGAGAGGGAGGGCUCUGUUUCACCACAGGGCACCAGAAGAGGACUGGUGUGUGGGAAGACCAGGUAAUCAUAAUACUAUUAAUAAUAGCAGUAAUCAUACUGUUUUAUACAUUGUACAUGUCAUAAGGA